Molecule: ribosomal RNA, 468 nt
Filed under: uncultured bacterium
Lineage: Bacteria
Description: partial 16S ribosomal RNA
Rfam family: Bacterial small subunit ribosomal RNA
Source: RNAcentral
GACGAACGCUGGCGGCGUGCUUAACACAUGCAAGUCGAACGGAAAGGCCCUGCUUUUGUGGGGUGCUCGAGUGGCGAACGGGUGAGUAACACGUGAGUAACCUGCCCUUGACUUUGGGAUAACUUCAGGAAACUGGGGCUAAUACCGGAUAGGAGCUCCUGCUGCAUGGUGGGGGUUGGAAAGUUUCGGUGGUGGGGGAUGGACUCGCGGCUUAUCAGCUUGUUGGGGGGGUAGUGGCUUACCAAGGCUUUGACGGGUAGCCGGCCUGAGAGGGUGACCGGCCACAUGGGGACUGAGGUACGGCCCAGACUGCUACGGGAGGCAGCAGUGGGGAAUAUUGCACAAUGGGCGGAAGCCUGAUGCAGCAACGCCGCGUGCGGGAUGACGGCCUUCGGGUUGUAAACCGAUUUCGCCUGUGACGAAGCGUGAGUGACGGUAAUGGGUAAAGAAGCACCGGCUAACUACGUG